CCUACGGGAGGCUGCAGUGAGGAAUAUUGGUCAAUGGACGAGAGUCUGAACCAGCCAAAUAGCGUGAAGGAUGACUGCCCUAUGGGUUGUAAACUUCUUUUAUAUGGGAAUAAAAUGUUCCACGUGUGGCUUUUUGUAUGUACUUUAUGAAUAAGGAUCGGCUAACUCCGUGCCAGCAGCCGCGGUAAUACGGAGGAUCCGAGCGUUAUCCGGAUUUAUUGGGUUUAAAGGGAGCGUAGGUGGAUUGUUAAGUCAGUUGUGAAAGUUUGCGGCUCAACCGUAAAAUUGCAGUUGAAACUGGCAGUCUUGAGUACAGUAGAGGUGGGCGGAAUUCGUGGUGUAGCGGUGAAAUGCUUAGAUAUCACGAAGAACUCCGAUUGCGAAGGCAGCUCACUGGACUGCAACUGACACUGAGGCUCGAAAGUGUGGGUAUCAAACAGGAUUAGAUACCCCUGUAGUC
RNAcentral lists this ribosomal RNA (460 nucleotides) under uncultured bacterium. RNAcentral describes it as "partial 16S ribosomal RNA". It matches the Rfam family "Bacterial small subunit ribosomal RNA", at positions 338 to 795 of the family's 1533-position model. The record is from RNAcentral.